UGCAAGUCGAACGAUGAAGCUCUUCGGGGUGGAUUAGUGGCGAACGGGUGAGUAACACGUGAGUAACCUGCCCUUCACUUCAGGAUAAGCCUUGGAAACGGGGUCUAAUACUGGAUAUGACUCAAGCUCGCAUGGGUUUGGGUGGAAAGAUUUUUUGGUGGGGGAUGGACUCGCGGCCUAUCAGCUUGUUGGUGAGGUAGUGGCUUACCAAGGCGACGACGGGUAGCCGGCCUGAGAGGGUGACCGGCCACACUGGGACUGAGACACGGCCCAGACUCCUACGGGAGGCAGCAGUGGGGAAUAUUGCACAAUGGGCGCAAGCCUGAUGCAGCGACGCCGCGUGAGGGAUGAAGGCCUUCGGGUUGUAAACCUCUUUCGUCAGGGAAGAAGCGAGAGUGACGGUACCUGAAGAAGAAGCACCGGCUAACUACGUGCCAGCAGCCGUGGUAAUACGAAGGGUGCAAGCGUUACUCGGAAUUACUGGGCGUAAAGCGUGCGUAGGUGGUGGUUUAAGUCCGUUGUGAAAGCCCUGGGCUCAACCUGGGAAUUGCAGUGGAUACUGGAUCACUAGAGUGUGGUAGAGGGAUGCGGAAUUUCUGGUGUAGCAGUGAAAUGCGUAGAGAUCAGAAGGAACAUCCGUGGCGAAGGCGGCAUCCUGGGCCAACACUGACACUGAGGCACGAAAGCGUGGGGAGCAACA
Molecule: ribosomal RNA, 700 nt
Filed under: uncultured bacterium
Lineage: Bacteria
Description: bacterial SSU rRNA
Rfam family: Bacterial small subunit ribosomal RNA
Source: RNAcentral